This 1795-nucleotide small RNA is filed under the name Monomorium pharaonis (pharaoh ant). Its description in RNAcentral is "uncharacterized LOC105838313". The record is from RNAcentral. Lineage: Eukaryota; Metazoa; Arthropoda; Insecta; Hymenoptera; Formicidae.
CAAAUCGCAACUGGAUAUUUUUACAUAUUAAAAUUAGCGGAAAAUAUUUAAUAUACUCGAUAAACUUGGACGAGAUGUAAAAAUGUGGUCAAAGUCACUUACACCGAACAAUGGAUUUCGUCCACGUAUGCAAAUUGAUUUUAUUUCCAUUUGGAAUAAUUUUACCAGAGCAUUUGCCUGAAAUGUCAUUAAAGAAUGUUCGCGUAAUACAAUCCGGGUUGAAAUGUUUCAAUUAUUAAUGUCUCUCUGUACGGGAUCGCGAACAGCAGUUCGUCCUGUCAAAGUGCAAACAAUGGACAUUUCCAAUUACUCGGCGAUGCGAAAGCAAUAUCUAAUGCGAUUUCUUUGUCCCGCCCGUUCUCACCGUCACUAAUAUCGUCCGUGUCGACUCGAUCCCCGGGUUAUAAUCAAACGGGAACUUGCGUAAGGAAGGACUCGCAUUAAGAGAAAUGGACCGUGGGGAGCGGUUUUUCGCCGCCGCGCGCCGGUACAAAAUAUCCAACAUGGUGACGUGAGCGUUGUCGCGCGUGACGGGCGCGUUCGAUGCCAUCGAUCGCGCGCGGGCAUCCUGAUCGAUACGCGCGUGUCGCGGCGGGCGAAAGAAACGACGAACGGGUCCGGCGAUCCAUUUUUUCGCGCUCCUCUUCCGCAACGAGCGGGAGCUCCAUUAGUCCGGGAUUGGCCGGCGUGCGCUUGAGCGAGCACCGCGGCGCUUUUUGCGCCGGCCGGGCCGGUUGAAUAAUUGUGUUUUGCAACGUCCGCGGGAGCGCUUAACCGAGCUCCCGGGCACAGAUCCAAAGAAGAAUUAAGCAAAGAGGAGAACCCCUGAAAUGCGGAUCUCUAUAAAAGGGACAAUGGCACCGGGCGAAUCGCGCAGUUUUUGGGACGAUCGCGGGUCGAUCGCACGGAUCAAUCAAGGGGCGUUUGCGCGAAGGGGGACACAAUUCUGCGACAGUAAUUGAGCAUAUUUCUCGUCAGUUGGUUCUAUUCGUAUUGGUGCUUUCGAUCUUGCUUCUGAUCGAUGCAAACCCGGAAGGUCACGCGCACUCUUUCCAACAUUUCCACGGUCCAGUGACAGGCAACGAGCACGAAGUCACAUGGGAUGACGACGACGGCCACUAUCAUGAAGACUACGUCGCUCAUCCCCAUUAUGCUUUUUCGUACGGGGUCGAAGACCACCAUACGGGCGAUUAUCACGGCCAAAAGGAGCACAGAGACGGCACGGACGUAUUCGGGGAGUAUACCGUGAAGGAACCAGACGGCAAUAUUAGAACAGUGAGGUACCGCGCAGGCAAGGACGGAUUUCACGCCAAAGUGCUUAACAGCCUCCGAAACGAUCGUCAACAAGAUGUUGAUCAUUAUUACGAUCGUUAUUAAUUCCCGCGAGGCUUCAUCGAAACUUGGUCGUUUUCUACUACUCCAUACUUUGUUAAUUUUUCAAAUCCAUUAUCCUUGUUAAUCGUCGACAUAUUUCAUUUGCACUCAUUAAAAGAUCAGUAAAGUACUUUAACAUAUUUUCAUUCUCUCAGUUUUUCUUAAUGAAUCACUCUUGUCUAGUUUUACGGCUAGUUUCAUAACGGAGUCAUUAUCGUGAAAGUCUUUCAAUAUUACGAAGUGGCCUUAAAGAUGUUGCGAAAACUCGAUAAGUUUGUCAAUCGCACAAUUUGCAGACUGAACUUCUUUGGAAGGAAUAAUUAUUUCUUCCGUGGAAAUGCAGCAAAUUGUAAUCGUCGACAUUGGAUUGUUAAUAGACUACUUUCCGAGCAAAACUGUUUGACCAAGGAAAUCAUGAGAA